AAAAUCAAGAUUUCAGAUCACAUGUUUGGGUUUCCGAAUGUUUAGAAAAAUCUGAGUUUAUAUGAAUUAUUAUUUUCACUAUUAUUUUUAUUCAUACUAUUAUUUUUAUUUUUUAAAUUAUUUUAUCAUUUUUAGAUAAAUAAAUUUUUAUUUAUUAUUUCUAAAUUAAAAAAUUUAUAUUUUUAACUACCAUCACCAUCAACACUACCUUCAUCAUUGCCAUCAUUUCUAUCAAGGUCACUAUCAUCAUCUCCACCA
Molecule: long non-coding RNA, 258 nt
Filed under: Elaeis guineensis (African oil palm)
Lineage: Eukaryota; Viridiplantae; Streptophyta; Magnoliopsida; Arecales; Arecaceae
Description: long non-coding RNA (EGUI_LNC013207)
Source: RNAcentral